RNAcentral lists this long non-coding RNA (1083 nucleotides) under Fukomys damarensis (Damara mole-rat). RNAcentral's name for it is "lncRNA (ENSFDAG00000027106.1)". The record is from RNAcentral. Lineage: Eukaryota; Metazoa; Chordata; Mammalia; Rodentia; Bathyergidae.
GUUCCAUCUUUGCACAGCAAUCAAUAUUCUAGCUUUGUUUGCGUAAAAUUUUAGCUAUUAAAGAAUAGCUCAGGAAACAGAGAGGUAGCCGAUUUGACGUAUGUGGGGGAGAUCUAUCAGGGAUGGAGAUUUUCUUCGCCGAGAGGCACUGCUCUUCCGGCCACUGAUCUCUUAAUGCACGCACAGAGCGGACAUUCAGCUUCUUGCUAUUCGAUAUUGCUGGCAGGAAGGUGCGAGCACCGGCCUGGAGAGAAUAAAGGCAUGUUGUUUAGAAACGCAGAGGCUUAACCCGGAGCAUAACUGGUUUGGGGUUUACCACAGAAGUUAUCUGGACACAUCAUUUGAUUUCCAGGUUUUAAAUGUAAUUCUAAGCAAAAUCUGGCUGCAUAGUCCUCUGCUGUGUGACACAGAGAGACAUUAUCAGCCACCAAAUGCCAUUCAGGCUUAAGCUGUGGAAGUGAGUCGUAUAAAUUGGGGCAUUCUCGAGGCCCUAAAGCACGUUGCCUCUCCCAGGAGAAAAUAAGAGGCCUGCUACAAUCUCCCCGUCACUCAGCCAAGAAACCAUCAAGGCUGCUCCUCUCUGUUGAGGUUCAUUUUGGUUUCCCUGCGUCAGAAACGCCUGAGAGUUGCACAACAGGCCGAUCCCCACCCACAGGCCACGUCUGAUUACAUAGGUGGAGUGGGUGGUGCUGGGGCCGUGGAAUCUGGGGCAGGCAUGGAAGGUUCCUCAGCCUCACAGAGCUUCCAGGCAAAUGUAAGUAUUCCGAGUCCCCAGGUCUCAUUCUGAAGCGAGGGUCAGAAUGCAAGUCCCCCUCGGUCCCCUCAAGAGGAAAUGACGUGUGCUGCUUUGCUGGCAAUGACCCAAGGCGGAAGGAGCAGCGAGGAGACAGGAAGCAAGGCCAGAGGGCCUGGACCACACUUGGCGCCGCCCCUUCCGCUUGGGAACCUGACCUUCGGCCUUCCCAUCCAUCACACGUCGGUUCUUUGGUGACCGCCCAACCCCGAAUCGAAACUAGAAGGCGAAGCUGUGAGGCAGGAGUUCUGCGUCACACAGGGGCACCUGCUAAACACAAGAAUGGAUGA